AGGGACUGCUCUAGCAUUAUCCGCCCGGCCCAGUCAAACUCUUCACCUAAUUACGGAAACUCUCAAUGAAGGAGGUUAUUUUUAGCUGUUUAACUACCGCCUGGCGCUGCUGCAGCUCUGCGGCUCGUCGAGGCGGAGACACCGAGACAGAUCCGUGUUCUCACGCUCUGUGCUGGAACGGAGAACUUUUUAAGGUGCCCCAGAACUCGCCGGAGGGUCUUUUGAUGAUUUUCUCUUUCUGUGCAGGAUUCCUCCCCGUGACCACGCCAUCCGUCCGGAGGUACAGCCCUGAGGAACGUUAGCGUGGAGAAGAGGAGGAGGAGGAGGAGGAGGAGGAGGAGCUGAACACUGUUAUAGUUUUAAAGUUCAACAAACUUUCAUAUCUUUCUCUCUGUCUCCUUUCUCUUGCUCCCUGUCACUCUCCCUCUAUCUAUCUAUCUAUCUAUCUAUCU
Ictalurus punctatus (channel catfish) is the source of this 452-nucleotide long non-coding RNA. Lineage: Eukaryota; Metazoa; Chordata; Actinopteri; Siluriformes; Ictaluridae. The record is from Ensembl.